This 648-nucleotide long non-coding RNA is filed under the name Marmota monax (woodchuck). Lineage: Eukaryota; Metazoa; Chordata; Mammalia; Rodentia; Sciuridae. The record is from RNAcentral.
CCUGGGGGAGGGAGGAGAGAAGGGAAAGGGAGGUACUUAGGAAUGAAAUUGUUAUAUUGUUAUACUGUUAUACUGAUUGCUAUAGGAACAUAUAACGAUGAAUACCAUUACCAUGUGUCAUUAUAAUGCACUAAUAAAAAGAAAAAAAAUGCUAAAAUAAAAAAGUUAGCACACUAAAACGGCUAGCACCCCACUCCCAAGCUCUGCCCCUUGAAGUCAGGCAGGCUUUGGGCUUUGUUAUGUCUUUUUUUAUUAUUAUUAAUUUCUUCUAUUUAGUUAUAUAUGACAUUAGAAGUAUUUGACAUAUUGUACACAAAUGGAGCACAACUUCUCAUUCCUCUGGCUGUCCAUGGUGCAGAGUCACUCCAGUAGUGUAGUCAUACAUGUAUAUAGGGUAAUAAUGUCUGUCUCAAGCCACCGUCCUUCCCAUCCCACAGUCCCACCCCUACCCUCACUCCCCUCUGCACAAUCCAAAGUUCCUUCAUUUUCCCUCCCUCUCCCUGCCCCAUUAUGGAUCAGCAUCUGCUUGUCAAAGAAAACAUUUGGCCUUUGUUUUUGGGGAUUUGGCUUAUUCAUUAUGUCUUAUUCUCGCAGAAGAGUUGUCUAAAGAGUUGCCAAAUUAAGUGAUACAAUCUACAUGAAAGCACG